Molecule: long non-coding RNA, 2189 nt
Organism: Homo sapiens (human)
Lineage: Eukaryota; Metazoa; Chordata; Mammalia; Primates; Hominidae
Source: Ensembl
GAGAAAGGAAGUGGAGAACGUUCUUGCAAGAUGAUCUGUAUUUUCUCUCUAAAGCAGAGUUCAUUUGCUGAGAAUGAUGGAGAAAAUCAGCAUCUAGCUAAUCAGCUGACCAUGAGAUGCAGAGAUUAUCUGGAAUUAUCCAGAUUGGUCCAUUUAAUUACAUGAGUCCUUAAAAGUGGAAAGUGGAAGAAGAGGCAGAAGAGUGUGUCAGAGAGAUGCUGUGUGAAAAGGACUCAACCUGCCACUUGAGGCUUUGAGGCUGGAGAAAGGGGCCAUGAACCAAGGAUUGUGAGCAGCCUGUAAAAUCUGGAAAAGACAAGGCAAUACCCUUUGCUGUCUCAGGGUCAAACAUGCAACUCCUGCCUGCUUGUAUGGCCAGCUGGGUUCAAGAAGGAAGGAACCUCAUUGUUGACAGUUACCAGAUGAAUGUGCCCCUUCUGUACAGCUAAGAAAUGGAAUAGACAUUGGUAACCUUCCACAGGCCCACACAUGUGUUAUCAGCCAUACCUUAGGACAGAAGGAAUGAGUUUGCAGAAAGGAUGAGGAGAUGGGGAUUCACCGUGUUAGCCAGGAUGGUCUUGAUCUCCUGACCUCAUGAUCUGUCUGCUGAGGACUCCCAAAGUGCUGAGAUUACAGGCGUGAGUCACUGUGACUGGACUAGGUAAUACAUUUUUUAUCUUUAGUUGCUUUGAAGAAUUAUUUUAAUCUUUAGUGAUUUUGCAGUUCAUUACAGUAUUUACAGGUACAUAUUUAUUCUCAUAUGUCCUGAUUGAGACUCGAUGAGUUGUUGUUGUUUUUAAUAUAAGUGUUCUUGUCUUUCAUCACUUCUGAGAAAUUAUCUUUGUAUAUUGGGCUUACCACCCUGUUUAACAAAUACUGCAUCUCCUCACUCUCACUCUAGGCCCUAUGUGUCUAGUCUGUACUGUUUUGAAUCUUGUUAUGUUUAUGUGCUGCAUUCUGGGUAAUUCCUCAGUGCUGGGAUUACAAGUGUGAGCCAACCCACCCAGCCAAGAGCAAACUCUAUAGUUAAAGGCAAAUAAUCUCAGGUAUAACAAAAAGAAUAAAUUCAAUUAUAAGAAUCACACCUUAAGCAUAACAAAAAAUAGCUAGUAUUUACCUAGGAAUAAGCACAGUGCUUAGAAUUGUAACUUCUUCAAAUCUCACAAAAGCCUUUUGACAUAGUAUUCAGCUGGGUUGACCUCAUGCUUAUGUCCAGAACUACCUGGAGUAAUCACCCUUGGCCAAUGUUAUAAUAUAUUUUAACUAGUGAUAAAUUAUGUUCUAUAACCAUGUGGAUGCAUCAAUUUGUCAACACUGUUUUGUAAUUGAUGAUUUGCAUCUGUGUUUGGUGCAACCUGGGUAAUUUUUGUAAUUUAGGAUGAUCACAUAGCUGGAAUGUGCCUAUGUGACCACCUCUCUAUAACAGACCCCAUCAUGAACAGACUUUGAGCUUGUUGGUACCAAGAUGCUUUGCAUACAUUUUGAUGGUGAUUCAAAACUAGGAGAACAAGUCAAUUCAGUGCAAUCCAUAGUGAGAAGACAAGCCUGCAUCUGAGAUUUCCAGACCCCUUUCAAUGAAUACCUUUGUUUUGCCAUUGUUGCAUUGUAUCCUUUACCCAUAAUAAAGCUAUUUUGUGAGUAAACACUAUUUGAGUCCUUUCAGCAAACAAACACGAAGAUUAAUAUAAAAUUAAGGCAGAUAUAUACCAUGUUAAUAUCUCUGUUUUAAAAAUGAGAACCCGGAGGCAUGGAGGUGUUAAAAAACUUCCCCCCAGAUAAUACCAUUAUAAAGUGACAGAGCAGGGACUUAACAGGAAGUCUGAGAGCUCAAGACUUGCUGUCUUCCCCACUGCACUACAUUGCAUCUCUGGUGGAACAGAAAAAUUAAAAACAAAAAUGGGAAAAAUAUACUUGGCAAAUAAAUCCUAAGAGGAAACUUGUGUAGCUUUAUAAUUAUUGGACAGAAUAGAUUUUGAGGCAAAAGAUAUUAUAGAGAGAAAAUUUUGCUAAGUAAUUAUACAUAAAAAUACUAAUCAGAAAGAUGUAACAAUUUUGAACACGUGUGCACCUCUAUCAAAACAAUCUUGGCUGCGGGCAGUGGCUCACGCCUGUAAUCCCAGCACUUUGGGAGGCCGAGGCGGGCGGAUCAUGAGGUCAGGAGAUUGAGACCAUCCUGGCUAACACGGUGA